GGGAUGCAUUUCUUAGAGGCUUCUUAGAGGAAUAUACUAGGUACAAUGCAUAUGCAGAUGCUCCUACAUGCUUCAGAUAAUCACCACCCAGAUAUAGACAUCUGGAAAAAAGCGCAAUCGAAUCGAUUCACUCAAGAACAAGGGACAUAUUUUUUUUUCAGAAUUGGCGAAAUGGAUUCAUGGAAAGGAAAGGUAUUCACAGUUUCACAUAAGCCUACAUGCUCCUACAUGCUUCAGAUAUUCAUCACCCAACCAUCUGGAAAAAGCUCAAUAGAAUCGAUCCACUCAAGAACAACACAAUUUUGCAGAGUUGGCCAAAUGGAUUCAUGAAAAUCUACUCAAGAACAACACAUUUGGACAAUUAGCCAUAUGGAUUCAUGGAAAGGAAAGGUAUUCACAGUUUCGCAUAAGCCUAAUCGAUGGUGCUGAUUACUCCUUGGGAGCAAUUACAGUUACUAUUUACAAAUGUACAAAGCUGCUAAGAUUACUAAGAUGCGGUGGCAACACCUUAAUCGCCACCUGCAGGGCUGCAAAC
This 535-nucleotide long non-coding RNA is filed under the name Hordeum vulgare. Its description in RNAcentral is "long non-coding RNA (HVUL_LNC003259)". Lineage: Eukaryota; Viridiplantae; Streptophyta; Magnoliopsida; Poales; Poaceae. The record is from RNAcentral.